UAGGGAAUCUUCCGCAAUGGGCGAAAGCCUGACGGAGCAACGCCGCGUGAGUGAUGAAGGCCCUAGGGUUGUAAAGCUCUUUCACCGGUGAAGAUAAUGACGGUAACCGGAGAAGAAGCCCCGGCUAACUUCGUGCCAGCAGCCGCGGUAAUACGAAGGGGGCUAGCGUUGUUCGGAUUUACUGGGCGUAAAGCGCACGUAGGCGGACUAUUAAGUCAGGGGUGAAAUCCCGGGGCUCAACCCCGGAACUGCCUUUGAUACUGGUAGUCUUGAGUUCGAGAGAGGUGAGUGGAAUUCCGAGUGUAGAGGUGAAAUUCGUAGAUAUUCGGAGGAACACCAGUGGCGAAGGCGGCUCACUGGCUAGAUACUGACGCUGAGGUGCGAAAGCGUGGGGAGCAAACAGG
This 404-nucleotide ribosomal RNA is filed under the name Actinomycetes bacterium. Its description in RNAcentral is "Actinobacteria bacterium partial 16S ribosomal RNA". It matches the Rfam family "Bacterial small subunit ribosomal RNA", at positions 355 to 776 of the family's 1533-position model. The record is from RNAcentral. Lineage: Bacteria; Bacillati; Actinomycetota; Actinomycetes.